RNAcentral lists this long non-coding RNA (2186 nucleotides) under Actinidia chinensis (golden kiwifruit). RNAcentral's name for it is "long non-coding RNA (ACHI_LNC004103)". The record is from RNAcentral. Lineage: Eukaryota; Viridiplantae; Streptophyta; Magnoliopsida; Ericales; Actinidiaceae.
UAUGCAAUGUUGUUGACAGGAGGCCUUGUCUGGAUGGCCUAGACUUUACUACCAUAUCAGAAGGGGAUAAAGUCAGAUGGAAGAGAACUUCAAAGAGUGGAAAGUAAUGAAAUCUAUGAAAAGUUGUAAUGUGAAAAGGCACUAGGCUUCACUAUGUAAUUUCUUUAGGCAGCUUGGAGGGUUAUCAUGAGGGAUGUACAACCAUUUUCUCGAGACAGGAUCUUUUGAGAGAAGCCUUAAUCCCAAAAAAGUGAGGUGCAACUGAACCGAAGAAUUUCAAGGCUAUGAGUUUGGCGGGUUGCAUGCAUAAGUUGGUAACUAAGGUCCCUGUUGUGAGAUCAAGAAAGCUUAUCGGCAGUGUGAUCUCUGAUACGCAUUUUUUUUUUUUGGGGGUAGACAGGUCUUGAAUGUAGUUCUUGUGCUGAUCUAUGAAGAACCAACAUGUUGCCGAGGUCCCCGUAUCUGUGUCCAACACAAUGGGGACAUGAUACACGCGGGAGACAUGGCAGACUACAUAUUUUAUUAAAUUUUUCUAUGGAGAAUGGUGGGGAUACGCGAGGAACACGACAGGAUAUAUUUUAUAAUUUUGAAAGCUAUUUCGGGGGCAAUUAUGUAAUAUUAGAAAAAUAUUGAAAAAAAAAUGGAAAAAUGAGGAAAUAUAUCAAUCAAUAUACAAUGUACUCUUUUUUUAAACCCUAGCCAACCACGCUCUUUCUCCGAUGGAUCCUUCAACCUCCGGAAAGCUCUAACAACUUCGAUAACCUCUAGCAACCUCCGGUGAGAUAUAUUCAACCUCACAUAGAUGCGAUUUUGUACUUUUGUUACUGAUUUUUGCAUGUUUGUUGCUGAUUAGACGUAUUUACCUAAUUUUGGUUGUUCAUACAUAAUCUAAUGAUAUAUAUAUAUAUAUAUAUUUUCGUGUUCCCAUCGUAUCCGUAUCUUGAUUUUUUGAGAAUUGUCGUGUCUUGUGUCCGUAUUUGUGUGCUACUUAGGUGGUUGACUAUAGUCCAAAGGAAGGCACUUCCGGAGUAAUUUGUAAGAUGGGCAUACAGAGAGAGCGUAGACAAUGUGAGUUGGGGUGGGAAGUAUCAAAUGGAGCAUCUCCACAUUUAGGUUCUCUAGUGAAUGUUUCUCCUUGAGGCUGCUUCUCUAGCUCCAGGGGAUUGAGCCACUUGGACCUUUAUCUCCUUUCCUCCAUGGAAGCUUUGAGCAGAAUGAUUAAAAAGGCUAGAUGGUAUGAUCACAGGUUUUAAAAUUAGAGGGAGAGGGGGGUGGGGUGGGGGGGGGUUAGAGGAGAAUUCUUUCCAAUUUACCGUUAGUUUCCCUGCAGUUUCCAAAAAUGUCUAAAACGUUUCCUCAAGUAUCCGGUACGUUUUUUUGAAGACAGAUCAUACUGGUACUGAAAACGCAUUUUGAGACGUUUUCCUGUGCAAUUGGGCUUCCUGGCAACUGCGGCAAAAAUCAUGCAAUUUAAAAAGUACAUUGGACCUUACAGGAAAAUCAACAUGUGAAAUUUCAUCAUUAAUGUUGCAAGGCCUUCCAUUUGCAUUGUUGAGUUUUUGUUUUUGAGAUUUGCAGGUUUGAUAGAAAAAGCCCAUGCCUUUCAUGUGCUUCUCUAUCCUAGAGAUCGUGAAAAUACUUUAGCUUUAAGGUUUAAUGAAACUAUAUGAAACAUUUUUAAUCUCUUAUUUUAAAAAACAUAAUUAAGAAUAACUAUACAAAAAGUUGGUUUAAAAAAAAUCACUUGUUCUUCUCUUAACCAAGAAGAGAAACAGCUAACAAAACAAAUUUGUAUACACAAAGCUUACCCCCGGAAAGUUAGUCAACUGCACUGCACACCCACAAGAUUCAGUUGCAUCAACAUUUCUGUCAUCAGAUUACAUCCUUAUGGUCUCCAUUGUCACUGCCACUAUAGUCCCUGUCAAUGUUGUGUGCCAUCCUCAAUUCUUCUUUUAGUUGAAAAAUGGCAAUCUGGUGCAUGAGACUUCUAUCUGGGGAGGGCCAGUUGUAGAAACGGCUGUAAACAAGAGAUUGAGAAACUACUUGUAGAAACGGCUUUGAAAACAAUAACGUAUUUAAAACUUAUUUUCUUACCGCUCCUUCUCCUCUGUAUCUCCUUUUGUUGUUCCACGUCCUCACCACCGUCAAUCAUCACCACCACCAUUCCUUUCUUAUCAUUUUCUCCU